Molecule: non-coding RNA, 2608 nt
Organism: Meleagris gallopavo (turkey)
Lineage: Eukaryota; Metazoa; Chordata; Aves; Galliformes; Phasianidae
Source: RefSeq, a predicted model, not a curated record
UCUUUCAGCCAGCUGCUUUAAUUUAGUUAGCCAACUUCUCAGUUUAAAGACAGUCUCUGCCAGCAAAAGAAUAUCACUUUCAUCUCUCAGUCAGACAAACAAAAUACAUCAUGAACAAAAGUUUUAUUUAUUUUUAAUCUUAGAUUGGUUUUGCUUUUAUUUUUGCCAUUCUCAUGCAGCAAAUGAGAUUUGUUUUAGAUAACUUUUUCUUUUUUUCUUUUUCAUUGUGGCAGUUUGGGGAAAAGCAAAAAGAAAAAAUAAUUGUGACUAUGCUAAAGAAGGUUUAGGGAUGGUACUAAUAAGAUGCAUACUAUUUCCAUCUACCAUGUCUGCUUAAAAAUGCAUCAAUUAAAUUACUAAUCACUGAGUGUUGACUUUGCAGCUUUCAGAUAAAGCUAUCUUUUACUGUAUUCCAAAGGAGCCCAAAUUUAGAAAAUAUAAAUGAUAAAAGUGUCUUUAAAUCUUUACUAAAUAUCAUGUCAUUUUGACACAACAUUAACUAGGGUAUGUUACAAAAGCUACAGAAUUCAGAGAAUAGCAAAACAGUUGAAGUUGGAAGGGAACUCUUGAGAUCAUUUAGUCCAGCAACCUCAAUCAAAUAACCUGCUACAGCAGGUUGUCCAGAAUCAUGUCCAGCUGGAUUUUUAAUGUCUUCACAGAUGGAGACUCUCCAGCACCUAUGGGCAGCCUAUGUUUUAUCACCUUUACAAUAAAAAGUGUCUUCUCACCUUCAGAUUGAGAAACUAAGCUGUUCUCUCUGGGUCCAUUUGUUCUUUAUUCUGUCAGAGGACACUACUGAGGAAGUCUAGCUCCAUCAACUUCAUUUCCAUCCAAGAGGGAGGAAAUCACACAAACUGACUGGAUUUUCCAGGAGCUGUUUGAGAAGCUUUCAUGGCACAAAACACAUCAGCAGACCAAUCUCUCUAAAGAUAAAUCUUUAAGAACGAAAAAUUAUGAAACGAGAUAUUCUCAUUAUCAAUACUUAGAGACCUAGAUAUCAGCAGAUACUUAGAAAAAUACAUGGACUAGACAGAGUUCAUUUGCAAACAAAAAGUUUGAAUCAAACUAUAGUAAACAAAAUGAAACAUGGAAAGGAACCUGCCUAGAAGACCUAAAGCAAAGAUUCUGCUUUGAAAACUAGAUGAUGAAUAUGAAUUUCUGGUUAAACAUCUCAAAGCGAUUAACGUUAUAUCUUUUAAAAUGUGGGUUCUCAAAGGCAUAGCCUUGUUUGCAAGGAAGUGGAUGAACUUUGAUUCAGUUCUGGAGACUUUAUGUGCAUAUUAAAAAGCUAAUAAGAAACAAUUGUUACCUAUUGCUCUUUCCCCAGAGAAGGAAUAAGAAUGGCUAAAAGUAAAGCGAGUAGUUAUCUUAACUGAGAAAAACCUCACCACCAUAGCACAGUUAACUAAGACAUAAAAAGAUGUCAGAUUAACUUAAAAGGGAUACAGAGGGAACACUAGAUGAAAUGUUAAAUAGAUGUUUAUUGUCCAUAAAUACAUCUUUUUCUUUUUUAUCUUUUUACGUUCUAUUCCAAAUCUGCUUAGGUAAGCUAUCCUUUCAAGAUAUUUAGUAAUAAACUUAAGGUAAUCAUGAAGCUCCUUAGACUGUUCCCCUUGCCAUUAUUCUCCAAAUAUUCAGAACAACAAGAUGGUACAUCUCUACAACGGCAGCAGGUCAGUCCCAGGAAUGGCACUGCAGAAGCUGAGAAAGUAGAAGUCUGUUUCAGUGACAAAAAUAACUUGCAUUUAACAAUAUAAUGUGAAUCACCUGAGUUUGACACUGACUGAACCUACAUCAAAAGGGGAAUGUAUCAUAACUACUGCAUGUAAGGAAUUACUUGUGCUUUUUCUGCAAUUAACUUUCAUAUCUGUAUUCUAAAGAAUAGACAAAAGCCAAAAUAGAACAUUUUAGAAGAUGGAAGGCAAGUAGCUAACACAAAAACAAUGGCAAACAGCUUUUCCUGAAGAGACAAUAGUCAGAAUGAUUUGGCAUUUAUCCUCGUGUCUUACCCUACAGGUAGUUAAUGACACUAUGAGGCUACUCAAGAGGUACAGAUUUAUUUCUAAGGAUAUGGAUUUACACAUAUGUAAUAAUAGUUUUAUAUACCAUGAUGGCCACUGUCGCAUCAGAUUUUGAAAUUCGUAGCCAUCUGUAGCUCAUAACUACCUAAAAUAGAAUACAUUUAAUGACCACAUGCAUAUAUAUAUAUAUAUAUAUAAAAUGACAAAUCAACUUUUCAACAUUUCUCAUUCAGUUUUCUCAAUAGUUUAACUGUGAUCCACAGCACCUUUUAAUUGCAUAAAGUUCUUGAAUUUUGGUUAUCUUGAAUCCAGAUAACUAAAAUAAGGGAACUGGUUACGUGAGGAGUCUUCAUUUUCACAGUUCCUUCCCUUUGCAAAAUUGCUGAACAACCUACAUGCAAGGCAUAUUUUUGUGAAAUUUUAUUUGAGACUACAAACUGCUAAGGGACCGAGAAGUAAGAUUUCCAUUUUUGCUAUCUUCUCUGCUUUCUGAAACUUAAUCCACUUCACAUUUGGAAACUCUGUGAAGUCUAUCUGGCUGAGAAUGCUCUAGGCAAAUGCUUUAAAUAAACUCAUGAAUAAACUCA